AAGCAAAAAAAUAGUUUAAACUCCACACUAUCAAAUCUCCAACACCGAAUCAAAUAUUUUCAAAACAAAAUCAAAUCAUUCAAGUAAACAUCUUACCCCCAACUCCCCAAGUAGUUCUUUCGGCCUGAAACCAUUGGAAAAUUCAUCCCCAAAUAGUCAUAUCUUGUCUAUUAUUCAGUUCUAAAAUUCGAUUCAGUGAUGGGAUAAGAGCCAGCAUCGAGUCCGUUGACUUUCAGCGUUUCAAGAUGUUAAUGUUUCCUCCAUCACUGCAACUCCAAUGGAUGCUCUCAAGUAUCUAAAGCCACUAGCAGGUUGUGACUUGGAUGUUAUUAUUUUUGGAUAUUAGUUGCCAGUUGUAAAUGGAUUAAUUGUUAUUCUAGAUUUGAAGUGGAAUGCAAAACGCCUGCUUGUUUGCAAGUUGAUGAUUUAUUUGCUUAUUUGAAUGGGAAUAGAUGUGAUUUCUUUUUUCAAUAGAUCCGUGGAGAUUUUCUCCCUGUGAGUAUCACUCUGUGCAAGAUUGUAGUUUUGGGCAUUAGAUGCAAUCUUUAGUUACUGUCAUGGCAAUCUUCACUGAUGUAAACAAAUGCCAACUUUGGAUCCUGGCUAUCCAGCCCCUCUCUUCCAUGGGAUCUUGUAGGAAAGUGUUCAAAAGCCUUCAGAUGUAUAUUCAUCAUCAAGUACUGAUGAACCCAACAGCAAACAUGUUGAAUCCAUAUUGAAUAUAUUCAGGGUUUUUACUUUGUCAA
Macadamia integrifolia is the source of this 746-nucleotide long non-coding RNA. RefSeq lists it as uncharacterized. The transcript is spliced from 2 exons. Lineage: Eukaryota; Viridiplantae; Streptophyta; Magnoliopsida; Proteales; Proteaceae. The record is from RefSeq and is a predicted model, not a curated record.